UGAGUUCGUUUUGAUUCAUGCUUUAUAGACAGUUAACAUUUAGAACAUUCUAAUCAGAGUGUUCCAGGGGUGGGUGGUUAGCAUUUCAAGUCAGUCUAACCUCUUGAGGUGGCCACCACAAGUUUUCAGCAAUCUUUAUCUUGGGUCAAUGUCAGAGGCUUUGUUAAUCAACAUAAUGGAUGCUAGAAAUUGUUUCUCAUUGGUGAAAUACGAAGUAUUCAAGAUGUGUGGAUGGGCUUGAAUUUUGUACGGGGACUCCCACUCUUGCAUGAGCGGAGUUUGAGUGUCCAGGGAAUCCAACAAUACAUGAGUUCUCAAACCUGGCUACACACUGUGAUCGCGCAGCCUUAAGAAAUCUGAUACCGGAGUUCUGCCUGCCAACCUUGACUUAACUGGUGUGCUCCACAUUUAGCUCAGCUGCUUAGGAGCUAGCUGUGUGACCUUGAGCAAGUUACUAACCUCUGUGAGCCUCAGUUUUCUCAUCUACAACCUGGGUAUAAUAAUAUGCUUACCUCAUCUGGUAGUUGUGAGGAUUUAAAUGAGUUAAUUUAUGUUGAGCGCUUAGUGUAAGAAGCAGCUCUCAACUACGUGCUAGCUGUUAUAUUAUUCGCAUUCGCACUAUUUUGAUUCUGAUUUUUGGAAGAGUUCCUAAGACAUGAUUAUAGUGUCCAGCUGCUAGUUGGUUGAAUCGUGCAACUAGAAUAUUUGCCUUGAAUGAACCUUUCAGAUGAGAUGCCAUAGGAACUCCUAAAAAGACAGAGGGAGCCAGAACUUGAUCUUGCUUCCAGAAUACAUUGUAGGAACUGCUUGAGUGCCAGCUUGCUGAUAAAUGUCUGUGUAGGUGGCAGGACUUAGUCUGACACUUGCUUUCAGUGAAACCUGGUGGGAAAUUUGUAGAGCACAGAACUUUGGCUCAUAUCUACCUCUGGUUCAGGGCUUCUUAUUCCUUUCUAGGGCGAUGGACCCCUUCAGCAGCCUGGUGAAGCCUACAGAUAACAUUGCAGGAUGAUGCUUCUAAAUGCAUCAAACAAAACACUAGGAUGCAGCAGAAAUAAAUUACAUUGAAGUACAGCUAUUGAAAUGUUAAUGAACAAAUUUAUUAUAAUAUGUGCACUCCUUUAUGAAUGCCUUAAAUAGCAAUGUCUAGCAGUGGGUAGUGAUAAGCCCGAAAGAUAUUCUAGGAUAUUUGAUAACAAUUGUAACAUGAUAUGAAAAAAUUUAUCUGUGAUUUCUAUUAGUGACAAAGUCACAAGUAUUCUUAUACGGCUGUAACUGGUUGUCUCACUCAUAAUGAAAGACGAUGCUAAGUUUCAGUUAAAGGUUAACGAAAAUAAAGAUGUUAUUUUUUUUUUUUCUUAUCCAAGUUCAUGGACCUUCUUGAAUUCCAUGACCCCCAGAUUAAAAGCUCUUAUUGGGAGGCUGCUAAUAGCUGCCCAACUAAUAAUUGGGACACAACAAGCAUUGUUCCAUCAGACUGUGAAGCUACUCAAUGGAAAGGAAAGGUGCCGUGGGAGAAUUUUUUUUUUUCAGUUGCUGUUGCCAUAUAACAAAAGACUCCAAGGCUUAGUGGCUUAGAACAAUGAUUUAUUAAUUUCCUCAUGAUUCUGUAGGUCGAGUAGUUGGCCAGAGCUCAGGUGGGCAACUUUCUGCUGGUCUCAGUUGGGUUUUUUCAUGUGCCUCCCUUCACUUAGGAGGUUGGCCAGACCUGGAACUUCCAAGUUGGCCUCGCAUUUUAUGUGUUUCUACUCAGGCUGCCGUAACAAAACAGCACAGGCUGAGUGACUUAAACAACAGAAAUUUAUUUCCCCACAGCUCUGGAGUCUGGAAAGUUUCUGGCAGUGUUUGGUUUCUUGUGAGGGCUGUCUUGCUGGUGUACAGACAGAUGCCUUGUUGCUGGGGUGGGAAGAGAGCUCUGGUCUCUCUUCUUAUAAGGAAGAUACUCUCAGAUCAGGGCUCUACCUUUAUGGUCUCAUUUGAUCUUACUGAUUUCCAGAAAAGACCUAUCUCCAAAUACAGUCACGUUGGGGAUUAGGGCUUCAACAAGAAUUUCAGGGGGGAUCAAUUCAGUCCAUAGCAUCCUCCAAGGCCUCUCUUCAUGCAUAACCUGUGACCAUGCAGUUGGGUAGCCUGAAUUUCCUCCUAGCAUGACCUCUGGGCUCCAGAGAGACAAAGAAGCCCCUGCCAACCCUUCAGGCCUGGGCAUGGCAGUUCAAAAUUAAUUCUACAACCUUCUAUUGAUCAAAACAAGUCACAGGCCAGUCCAGAUCCCAGGGGAGAGAAUAUGGGCCCCACCUCUUUUUUUAAUGACUUUUUGGGGGGAGAGAGAGAGAGAAUGAGAGAGAGAACAAAUGGGGGAGGGGCAGAGAGAGAGGGAGACAAAGAAUCCGAAGCAGGCUCCAGGCUCUGAGCCGUCAGCACAGAGAGACGCGGGGCUCGAAUUCACACAUCAUGAGAUCACGACCUGAGCCGAAGUUGGACACCUAACCAACUGAGCCACCCAGGCGUCCCUACGGUCCCACCUCUUAACGUGAUGAAUGGCACAAAAGCACCGGGAGAAGGGGAAUUACCAGGGCCACGUCUGGACUCUCUUCACCGCAGAGACCGAGGAGGACUGGGGACGCCUCAGACCCAGGAUGAGAGAAAGCCCACACGGAAGCUCCAUGAGGACAGAGUUCUGCUCUUCGCUGUUGAGCCAGAGCCCGUGCAGGGCCCUGGAGGGAUGGGCUCUGGCUCACAAUAUUUGCGGACUGAAGAAGUGGAUGGGGGAGAUGCCGAUGAGUCAACGCUGCCUGAUUGUGAUGCUGGCUAUUGGCCCUGAGCCACACAGCAGACAGUAAGCAGGCAUUCGUGGAGACGACCUGGGUCUCGGGUCCACAGAGACCUUGAUGCCGAAGCCCUUCCUUGAGGCUGAUGUUCUGCCACAUUUCUGUGGGUUUCAGAUGCUCUGUUUUUUUCCUUCAAAUUUUAAUGUUUUCGAAAGCACAAUUGAUCUUACCACCGAGCUGUACAGUUAAUGAAGUGUCUUUUUUGUUGGUCCCUGUGAAGCAGUUACGAAAUCAAUGGUGAGUCCCACAGUCAAUGGCAUUUUGGAAUUGAGGUAAUUCCAUUUGUGGCCUUGGGUAAAGUCUUUGCUUUUCUGAGACCUAAUUUCCUUAUCUAUAAAAGGGCAGAGUUGUCGUAAAUAUUGGAGAUGUAUAUAAUGGCCUCAGCACAGUGACUGGUGGCUUUAAUUCAUCAAUAGAAAGUCUAUUAUGAGUUUCAUAAAAUAUGUGUCAGAUUAGUGUUUUGUGAGAAUAAUCCAUAUCCUUGUAUGGUCGGUGACACAUUUGGCCACUCGCAGUUUUAAAAAGGAAAAGAAAGGGAUUUUAGGGGCUCUUUCCUCUUUACAUUUUAAUUAAUACUGUACAAAACCUUCCUCUAGUAUCUUUAUGUUGUGAGACAAGC
Molecule: long non-coding RNA, 3444 nt
Organism: Acinonyx jubatus (cheetah)
Lineage: Eukaryota; Metazoa; Chordata; Mammalia; Carnivora; Felidae
Exons: 3
Source: RefSeq, a predicted model, not a curated record